CCACCCAUAUUAUGGAAGGCAGCCUACUUUACUCAAAAUCCAUCAAUUUAAAUGUUAAUCUCAUCCCAAAACACCUUUACAGAAACAUCCAGAAUAAUGUUUGACCAAAUAUCUGGACACCAUGGCCCAGCCAAGCUGGCACAUAAAAUUAACCAUCACAGCAGUUCCCAAGCUGCUUCCUGCGAAGGAAGUUCUUCUUCCAGGGAAAAUGGAGUCUGUCCUGACAAAAGACAACCACGUUCCCAGCGUGAAUAAGCUAAACUGUGGAGGAGGCUACUUGAAACCAAUCUAAAUCCUACAAAGGCUGUUUGAGCUGAAUCCAUCAGGACUCACACAUGCAGCCACUGAAAGGAGGCUGACCUUUACAGAUGGCUUCCAGGGGCUUCUCAUUGGGUUGUCUAGGAGAGGCACUGGCAGGAGAUGGCAAUGUGGGAGGAGAGGAAGGCCCAGAUAUCCAUCCCUCCAGCUGGCCAUUAGUUAGCAGUGGCCUCUCCUAGAGACACUGACCCAGCUGUGCUCCACAGCUCUUUCUAAGUCCUGGAAACCACUCCUUCCCUCUACCUUUUCAGCCCCAGGGGUGAUAAUGAAUCCCCAGCUGUUUUACUCUAAGUGCUUCACCAUCCUUUUGGUUUUCUUUAACCCUUUCUAUACCUUUGUAACUCAUUAAACUCUGCUCAGUUACUUUAUUUGAGAAUCCCAUCAUUUUUACGCUACUGGGAUCCUGACUGAUAUAAGCACUAAUUAAAAAAAAAA
Molecule: long non-coding RNA, 753 nt
Organism: Aethalodelphis obliquidens (Pacific white-sided dolphin)
Lineage: Eukaryota; Metazoa; Chordata; Mammalia; Artiodactyla; Delphinidae
Exons: 2
Source: RefSeq, a predicted model, not a curated record